AGAGUUUGAUCCUGGCUCAGGACGAACGCUGGCGGCGUGCCUAAUACAUGCAAGUCGUACGCUUCUUUUUCCACCGGAGCUUGCUCCACUGGAAAAAGAAGAGUGGCGAACGGGUGAGUAACACGUGGGUAACCUGCCCAUCAGAAGGGGAUAACACUUGGAAACAGGUGCUAAUACCGUAUAACAAUCGAAACCGCAUGGUUUUGAUUUGAAAGGCGCUUUCGGGUGUCGCUGAUGGAUGGACCCGCGGUGCAUUAGCUAGUUGGUGAGGUAACGGCUCACCAAGGCCACGAUGCAUAGCCGACCUGAGAGGGUGAUCGGCCACAUUGGGACUGAGACACGGCCCAAACUCCUACGGGAGGCAGCAGUAGGGAAUCUUCGGCAAUGGACGAAAGUCUGACCGAGCAACGCCGCGUGAGUGAAGAAGGUUUUCGGAUCGUAAAACUCUGUUGUUAGAGAAGAACAAGGAUGAGAGUAACUGUUCAUCCCUUGACGGUAUCUAACCAGAAAGCCACGGCUAACUACGUGCCAGCAGCCGCGGUAAUACGUAGGUGGCAAGCGUUGUCCGGAUUUAUUGGGCGUAAAGCGAGCGCAGGCGGUUUCUUAAGUCUGAUGUGAAAGCCCCCGGCUCAACCGGGGAGGGUCAUUGGAAACUGGGAGACUUGAGUGCAGAAGAGGAGAGUGGAAUUCCAUGUGUAGCGGUGAAAUGCGUAGAUAUAUGGAGGAACACCAGUGGCGAAGGCGGCUCUCUGGUCUGUAACUGACGCUGAGGCUCGAAAGCGUGGGGAGCAAACAGGAUUAGAUACCCUGGUAGUCCACGCCGUAAACGAUGAGUGCUAAGUGUUGGAGGGUUUCCGCCCUUCAGUGCUGCAGCUAACGCAUUAAGCACUCCGCCUGGGGAGUACGACCGCAAGGUUGAAACUCAAAGGAAUUGACGGGGGCCCGCACAAGCGGUGGAGCAUGUGGUUUAAUUCGAAGCAACGCGAAGAACCUUACCAGGUCUUGACAUCCUUUGACCACUCUAGAGAUAGAGAUUCCCCUUCGGGGGCAAAGUGACAGGUGGUGCAUGGUUGUCGUCAGCUCGUGUCGUGAGAUGUUGGGUUAAGUCCCGCAACGA
This 1117-nucleotide ribosomal RNA is filed under the name Enterococcus faecium. RNAcentral describes it as "bacterial SSU rRNA". It matches the Rfam family "Bacterial small subunit ribosomal RNA", at positions 8 to 1095 of the family's 1533-position model. Lineage: Bacteria; Bacillati; Bacillota; Bacilli; Lactobacillales; Enterococcaceae. The record is from RNAcentral.